Molecule: ribosomal RNA, 244 nt
Filed under: Melanelixia glabratula
Lineage: Eukaryota; Fungi; Ascomycota; Lecanoromycetes; Lecanorales; Parmeliaceae
Description: partial 18S ribosomal RNA
Source: RNAcentral
GGUUGCCUGUCGGAGACCCCCGCAGCGACUCUAAAGAACUGCUUUUAGUCGCCCCGAAUGUUCGGGUCGGCGACGCUAUUAGUCUGCGCUGGGAGUCCCUCGCACCGAGGGCCGACCGGCAGCUCCAGGGAACCCCUCGAGUCCACAGAUCAAACGACGGCGGCCACCUCCUGUGGUUCAGAUAUGACCGGCCCCAACCGCUAAGCGGCUGGCGAAGUUUUUGCGGAACCUGCGGAAGGAUCAU